Molecule: long non-coding RNA, 464 nt
Organism: Neofelis nebulosa (Clouded leopard)
Lineage: Eukaryota; Metazoa; Chordata; Mammalia; Carnivora; Felidae
Exons: 2
Source: RefSeq, a predicted model, not a curated record
ACCAUGGAUGUGUGCCCAUGUGCACACGCAUAAGCACAACCAGACUGGGCAGAUGGAAAGAGCACAAGAGAAAAAACAGUAAUUUCUCUUACCACUACUAGGCUGAGGCCUAGGCUGACAUAAAGGGACAUAUGACACAUAUAGGCUGGCUACAAGAACCAUUAUUUUGACCCUGACAGUUAUAGAGCAUGUUCCAGGCCUCAAGACGAGUACCCCACUGAAAAUAUAGGGUUGUGUCUUCUGAAAUGAGAAAGAGACCUUAUAUAAAAUUUUAUUUGGGGGAAAAUGAUGCCAACAGUUUGACUACAUUUAAUCUUACAUAAGAAAAGUACAUGGGUCUUUGGGUCAAGAAAAUAGCCAGACCUGUUUUCCUUGCAAUCUACAUGUCACUAACAAUUGAAAAUAGUAAGAGAGUAAAGCUGAAUACAAGGGCAAAAUAUACUGAGCAAUACUGGUCUAAAGGA